UCUCCAGUCUAGAGACUUCAAGUCUUCAACAAUAAUUCGAAGUUCAUCAAUCUUGUAAGUAUCUCAGUUGAUGAAAAUGUUCAUCAUUAAUAAUUUAUUUUGCUUCAUCAUAAUAUCUUGAUUUUAUGUUGUAUUAAAUUGUUAUAAUCCAACAUCUAAAACUUGUCCAAAGUUUUUUCUACUUUUAUUUAAAUCCAUUUAGACUGAAGUUAUAGAUUAAUUUUAGAAGGCCUCUAAGUUAAUCUUAUGUCUAGAAGUACCCGUAC
RNAcentral lists this long non-coding RNA (266 nucleotides) under Coffea arabica (coffee). Its description in RNAcentral is "long non-coding RNA (CARA_LNC004219)". The record is from RNAcentral. Lineage: Eukaryota; Viridiplantae; Streptophyta; Magnoliopsida; Gentianales; Rubiaceae.